RNAcentral lists this unclassified non-coding RNA (200 nucleotides) under soil metagenome. RNAcentral's name for it is "partial contains internal transcribed spacer 2 and large subunit ribosomal RNA". The record is from RNAcentral.
GGCCACUUGAAAUGCAGGUGCGGCUGGACACUUCUUCUGAGCUAUAAGCAUUACUUAUUUAAUCCCGUCAAACGGAUUAUUUCUAUUGCUACAGCUAACAUAAAGGUUGAUUGUCCUUGUGCCCGACUGAUGCAGGAAAACAAAGAGUAAUCUUUGUUCAACUCGAUCUCAAAUCAAGUAAGACUACCCGCUGAACUUAA